AGAGUUUGAUCAUGGCUCAGAUUGAACGCUGGCGGCAGGCCUAACACAUGCAAGUCGAACGGUAACAGGAAGCAGCUUGCUGCUUCGCUGACGAGUGGCGGACGGGUGAGUAAUGUCUGGGAAACUGCCUGAUGGAGGGGGAUAACUACUGGAAACGGUAGCUAAUACCGCAUAAUGUCGCAAGACCAAAGAGGGGGACCUUCGGGCCUCUUGCCAUCGGAUGUGCCCAGAUGGGAUUAGCUUGUUGGUGGGGUAACGGCUCACCAAGGCGACGAUCCCUAGCUGGUCUGAGAGGAUGACCAGCCACACUGGAACUGAGACACGGUCCAGACUCCUACGGGAGGCAGCAGUGGGGAAUAUUGCACAAUGGGCGCAAGCCUGAUGCAGCCAUGUCGCGUGUAUGAAGAAGGCCUUCGGGUUGUAAAGUACUUUCAGCGGGGAGGAAGGGAGUAAAGUUAAUAUCUUUGCUCAUUGACGUUAUCCGCAGAAGAAGCACCGGCUAACUCCGUGCCAGCAGCCGCGGUAAUACGGAGGGUGCAAGCGUUAAUCGGAAUUACUGGGCGUAAAGCGCACGCAGGCGGUUUGUUAAGUCAGAUGUGAAAUCCCCGGGCUCAACCUGGGAACUGCAUCUGAUACUGGCAAGCUUGAGUCUCGUAGAGGGGGUAGAAUUCCAGGUGUAGCGGUGAAAUGCGUAGAGAUCUGGAGGAAUACCGGUGGCGAAGGCGGCCCCCUGGACGAAGACUGACGCUCAGGUGCGAAAGCGUGGGGAGCAAACAGGAUUAGAUACCCUGGUAGUCCACGCCGUAAACGAUGUCGACUUGGAGGUUGUGCCCUUGAGGCGUGGCUUCCGGAGCUAACGCGUUAAGUCGACCGCCUGGGGAGUACGGCCGCAAGGUUAAAACUCAAAUGAAUUGACGGGGGCCCGCACAAGCGGUGGAGCAUGUGGUUUAAUUCGAUGCAACGCGAAGAACCUUACCUGGUCUUGACAUCCACGGAAGUUUUCAGAGAUGAGAAUGUGCCUUCGGGAACCGUGAGACAGGUGCUGCAUGGCUGUCGUCAGCUCGUGUUGUGAAAUGUUGGGUUAAGUCCCGCAACGAGCGCAACCCUUAUCCUUUGUUGCCAGCGGUCCGGCCGGGAACUCAAAGGAGACUGCCAGUGAUAAACUGGAGGAAGGUGGGGAUGACGUCAAGUCAUCAUGGCCCUUACGACCAGGGCUACACACGUGCUACAAUGGCGCAUACAAAGAGAAGCGACCUCGCGAGAGCAAGCGGACCUCAUAAAGUGCGUCGUAGUCCGGAUUGGAGUCUGCAACUCGACUCCAUGAAGUCGGAAUCGCUAGUAAUCGUGGAUCAGAAUGCCACGGUGAAUACGUUCCCGGGCCUUGUACACACCGCCCGUCACACCAUGGGAGUGGGUUGCAAAAGAAGUAGGUAGCUUAACCUUCGGGAGGGCGCUUACCACUUUGUGAUUCAUGACUGGGGUGAAGUCGUAACAAGGUAACCGUAGGGGAACCUGCGGUUG
RNAcentral lists this ribosomal RNA (1521 nucleotides) under Shigella boydii. RNAcentral's name for it is "bacterial SSU rRNA". It matches the Rfam family "Bacterial small subunit ribosomal RNA". Lineage: Bacteria; Pseudomonadati; Pseudomonadota; Gammaproteobacteria; Enterobacterales; Enterobacteriaceae. The record is from RNAcentral.